This 495-nucleotide ribosomal RNA is filed under the name uncultured bacterium. RNAcentral's name for it is "partial 16S ribosomal RNA". The record is from RNAcentral.
GGAGUUAGCCGGUGCUUCUUCUGUGAGUGAUGUCCUUCCUGCCGGUUAUUGACCCGCAGGCCUUCUUCCUCACUGAAAGUGCUUUACAACCCGAAGGCCUUCUUCACACACGCGGCAUGGCUGGAUCAGGGUUGCCCCCAUUGUCCAAUAUUCCCCACUGCUGCCUCCCGUAGGAGUCUGGGCCGUGUCUCAGUCCCAGUGUGGCUGAUCAUCCUCUCAGACCAGCUACGGAUCGUCGCCUUGGUGAGCCGUUACCUCACCAACCAGCUAAUCCGACAUAGGCUCAUCCGAUAGCGCGAGGCCCGAAGGUCCCCCGCUUUCCCCCGUAGGGCGUAUGCGGUAUUAGCCUGGGUUUCCCCAGGUUAUCCCCCACUACCGGGCAGAUUCCUAUGCAUUACUCACCCGUCCGCCGCUCGCCACCAGGGAGCAAGCUCCCCGUGCUGCCGCUCGACUUGCAUGUGUUAGGCCUGCCGCCAGCGUUCAAUCUGAGCCAGU